RNAcentral lists this unclassified non-coding RNA (274 nucleotides) under uncultured fungus. RNAcentral describes it as "partial contains 5.8S ribosomal RNA, internal transcribed spacer 2, and large subunit ribosomal RNA". Lineage: Eukaryota; Fungi. The record is from RNAcentral.
AACGCACAUUGCGCCCGCCAGCAUUCUGGCGGGCAUGCCUGUUCGAGCGUCAUUUCGACCCUCAAGCCCUGCGGCUUGGUGUUGGGGCCCCCUACGGCGCUCGCCGUAGGCCCCGAAAUACAGUGGCGGACCCGACGGGACCCCGAGCGUAGUAGCAUUUGUUCUCGCUUAGGGCGUCGCGGCGGGCACCGGCCGUAAAACCCACAGGCGCCUCCGGGCCCUGUAACCCACCAAGGUUGACCUCGGAUCAGGUAGGAAUACCCGCUGAACUUAA